GUCUCCACAACUUCUUUAGUGAACGUUCUCCCGACGCCCGAUGUUCCAAUCAAGAUGGUUGGUUUGAUUUCCUUAACGGCAUCAAUGAGUUUCUUGAUAGGUUUGUGAUCAUGAGCCCAGGGUUUCUUGAAAUGUUGGAGAGUAUCCUUCCUAGAACUUACAAUCAGCCCCUUGGAAUCCACGAGCCAGACUUUUUUGCGUGUCUCUUCCAACGGAGCAUUGGUCUGUUUUGAUAUCUCAAGGGCUAUGAGCUCUGCA
Molecule: unclassified non-coding RNA, 258 nt
Filed under: Hevea brasiliensis (rubber tree)
Lineage: Eukaryota; Viridiplantae; Streptophyta; Magnoliopsida; Malpighiales; Euphorbiaceae
Source: RNAcentral